GACGAACGCUGGCGGCGUGCCUAAUACAUGCAAGUUGAGCGCUGAAGGUUGGUACUUGUACCGACUGGAUGAGCAGCGCACGGGUGAGUAACGCGUGGGGAAUCUGCCUUUGAGCGGGGGACAACAUUUGGAAACGAAUGCUAAUACCGCAUAAAAACUUUAAACACAAGUUUUAAGUUUGAAAGAUGCAAUUGCAUCACUCAAAGAUGAUCCCGCGUUGUAUUAGCUAGUUGGUGAGGUAAAGGCUCACCAAGGCGAUGAUACAUAGCCGACCUGAGAGGGUGAUCGGCCACAUUGGGACUGAGACACGGCCCAAACUCCUACGGGAGGCAGCAGUAGGGAAUCUUCGGCAAUGGACGAAAGUCUGACCGAGCAACGCCGCGUGAGUGAAGAAGGUUUUCGGAUCGUAAAACUCUGUUGGUAGAGAAGAACGUUGGUGAGAGUGGAAAGCUCAUCAAGUGACGGUAACUACCCAGAAAGGGACGGCUAACUACGUG
RNAcentral lists this ribosomal RNA (497 nucleotides) under uncultured bacterium. RNAcentral's name for it is "partial 16S ribosomal RNA". It matches the Rfam family "Bacterial small subunit ribosomal RNA", at positions 28 to 507 of the family's 1533-position model. The record is from RNAcentral.